GACGAACGCUGGCGGCGUGCCUAAUACAUGCAAGUCGAACGCAUUUUCUUUCACCGUAGCUUGCUACACCGAAGGAAAAUGAGUGGCGAACGGUGAGUAACACGUGGGUAACCUGCCCAUCAGCGGGGGAUAACACUUGGAAACAGGUGCUAAUACCGCAUAAUUCCAUUUACUGCAUGGUAGAUGGAUGAAAGGCGCUUUUGCGUCACUGAUGGAUGGACCCGCGGUGCAUUAGCUAGUUGGUGGGGUAACGGCCUACCAAGGCUGCGAUGCAUAGCCGACCUGAGAGGGUGAUCGGCCACACUGGGACUGAGACACGGCCCAGACUCCUACGGGAGGCAGCAGUAGGGAAUCUUCGGCAAUGGACGCAAGUCUGACCGAGCAACGCCGCGUGAGUGAAGAAGGUUUUCGGAUCAUAAAACUCUGUUGUUAGAAAAGAACAAGGAUGAGAGUGGAAAGUUCAUCCCUUGACGGUAUCUAACCAGAAAGCCACGGCUAACUACGUG
Molecule: ribosomal RNA, 506 nt
Filed under: uncultured bacterium
Lineage: Bacteria
Description: partial 16S ribosomal RNA
Rfam family: Bacterial small subunit ribosomal RNA
Source: RNAcentral